GGUCAAUGAUGUCAUGGCAUGUAUUAGCUGAAUCCGUGGUGUGAGUUCUAAAUUUAUACUGAGAUACU
This is a small nucleolar RNA of Aotus nancymaae (Ma's night monkey), 68 nucleotides long. NCBI's taxonomy places the organism in Eukaryota, Metazoa, Chordata, Mammalia, Primates, Aotidae. The record is from Ensembl.